GAAGUACCUUGGAGAUUUGGAAACAUGGGAUAAAGCUGAAGCGGAUCUCAAAGAAGCUA
Molecule: small RNA, 59 nt
Filed under: Arabidopsis thaliana (thale cress)
Lineage: Eukaryota; Viridiplantae; Streptophyta; Magnoliopsida; Brassicales; Brassicaceae
Description: ATSL259290
Source: RNAcentral